Molecule: long non-coding RNA, 1524 nt
Filed under: Pogona vitticeps (central bearded dragon)
Lineage: Eukaryota; Metazoa; Chordata; Lepidosauria; Squamata; Agamidae
Description: lncRNA (ENSPVIG00000000621.1)
Source: RNAcentral
UUCACAACUUUAGGGCCAAUGUAAUAUAUGGCCAAGCGCAAAUUUGAGCAGGAUGCCCUCAUUCCAACAAAUACUUGCUUAAAUCCAUUAUCAAGUCAAGACAAGAGAAGAUCCAUUGAAUCAAUGAAAUUGAUGUUAUUAACUUGUAACUUGCAAUCAACUUCCAGGUCAUUGUAGGGUCAUGCCAAUAAAUGUCUGAUUUAAGAAUCAGGUGAGGAACCGAGGAAUCAGACCUAGAACAAAAAUAUUAAGGCCAAGGCUAUCAAGUGAACUAGUGGCAGAGGGACGAAUCUACCUGCUGGAUAGCUCAGUGGUUUAGGCAUCUAGAUGGGUGUUCAAACACCCACUGGGCAUCUUUGACAGGGGCUGGACUAGAUGAUCCAUAGGUUCCUUUCCAGCUCUGCAGCCCUAAAAUUAUUAUUAUUACCUCUGGGGAAAAGAGCACUCCUUUCUCUAUCAUUGACUUCUGUUUCUGCUUCUAUAAUUUACAUAUUCAGAACCACCCACCCCAGGCUGUGCCACUUCAGACUGGAUGAAAGAGAAUACCAUCCACCCCCAUCAAACAAACUCUCUUCUCAUGGAAUUCACUGGGAGAGAGUGAGGUUUUGUACAAGUUCAGAAGAACCGGGACAGGUGGGAGAGAUUUAUUUCCUUAGUUACGGGGCGGGUUCUCAGGGACACCUUUGAGGGUGUGGGUCUGUCAUGUGAACACAGGAAAAUCUGAGGUGUUUUUGAUCUUCAGAAGGCAGGAAGGCAAAAACUGAACUGCAGGCUGCGGUCUGUGUUUAUGCAACUCUCCGAUGAAGGAGACCGACUGAGUGACAUUCUUCAUGUCUGUUACGCAGGAGAAAGACAUGCAGUUCCUGGGGGCUGUUUUAUUUCUGGCCAUCUUUGAAGGCAUUUGGGGCCAAGAAACAGUCACUCAGAAGGACCGCUUUGCUAACACCACGGAGGGGGAACCGGUCCACCUCAACUGCUCCUACCAGGGAACUCCAAAUAGUGUUCAGUGGUACCAGCAAAACCCGGAUGGCCAGAUCGUUCAUAUUGCUAUAUUAUUCCAAACCAAAACGGAGUCUUUUGGCCGAUUUGAUAUGAACCUGAAUAAACAGGAGAAAACGACCUGGUUACGUUUGAAGAAUCCCCGGCUUGAAGACUCCGGUGUCUAUUUCUGUGCGAUGAGUCACAGUGUUGCCGUGAGGCACGCAGGCUGUCCCAAAACCUGGGGUGGACCCUUCAAGUUCAGACAAGGCCCUUAGUGGUGCAUUCAAUUAAUUCUAGACAGUGACCCAGGGAAAGUUCACUCCCAAAUUAUCCUGAGAAAUAGAUGAUACUGGGAAAGAAUGAGCAAUGGAGGAACAAUUUAUGAUUUCCAUGAGUAAAUCAAAAUUUGAGCCUGGCCAUAUAAACCAUCUUCAACACUCUUAACCAUAGUCAGAUUUAUUCAUGAAUUCAGUGUACGUUCCAUCUUUCAGGCACCCCCCUGAACACAGCCACUCCACGAAUAAACAAGACAGUCUGUCUACA